RNAcentral lists this transfer RNA (84 nucleotides) under bacterium. Its description in RNAcentral is "tRNA-Ser". It matches the Rfam family "tRNA". Rfam says of the family: Transfer RNA (tRNA) molecules are approximately 80 nucleotides in length. Their secondary structure includes four short double-helical elements and three loops (D, anti-codon, and T loops). The record is from RNAcentral.
GGAGAGGUGUGCCGAACGGCUAAGGCACUGGUCUCGAAAACCAGCGCCCGCAAGGGCUUGUGGGUUCGAAUCCCACCCUCUCCG